This 505-nucleotide ribosomal RNA is filed under the name uncultured bacterium. RNAcentral describes it as "partial 16S ribosomal RNA". It matches the Rfam family "Bacterial small subunit ribosomal RNA", at positions 29 to 523 of the family's 1533-position model. The record is from RNAcentral.
AACGAACGCUGGCGGUGCGUCUUAAGCAUGCAAGUCGAACGGUAACGGGCCUUCGGGUGCCGACGAGUGGCGAACGGGUGAGUAACACGUAGGUGAUCUGCCUUUGGGUUGGGGAUAGCCUGUGGAAACACAGGGUAAUACCGAAUGAUGUCGUAGUACUGUGGUGCAACGAUUAAAGGGGCUAUGGCCCCGCCUGAAGAUGAGCCUGCGGCUGAUUAGCUAGUUGGUGAGGUAAAGGCUCACCAAGGCGACGAUCAGUAACCGGCCUGAGAGGGUGGCCGGUCACACUGGGACUGAGAUACGGCCCAGACUCCUACGGGAGGCAGCAGCUAAGAAUCUUCCGCAAUGGACGAAAGUCUGACGGAGCGACACCGCGUGAGUGAUGAAGGCGGAAACGUUGUAAAGCUCUUUUAUGGAUGAGGAAUAAGUCUGGGAGGGAAUGCCCGGAUGAUGACGGUAGUCCAUGAAUAAGCCCCGGCUAAUUACGUGCCAGCAGCCGCCGCAG